CCUACGGGGGGCAGCAGUGAGGAAUAUUGGUCAAUGGACGAAAGCCUGAACCAGCCAAGUAGCGUGAGGGAUGAAGGCCCUAUGGAUUGUAAACUUCUUUUAUAAAGGAAUAAAGUGCGGGACGUGUGACGUUUUGUAUGUCCCUUAUGAAUAAGGAUCAGCUAACUCCGUUCCAGCAGCCGCGGUAAUACGGAGGAUCCGAGCGUUAUCCGGAUUUAUUGGGUUUAAAGGGAGCGUAGGGGGGCUUUUAAGUCAGUUGUGAAAGUUUGUGGCUCAACCAUAGAAUUGCAGUUGAUACUGGCAGGCUUGAGUACAGUUGAGGCAGGCGGAAUUCGUGGUGUAGCGGUGAAAUGCUUAGAUAUCACGCAGAACCCCGAUUGCGAAGGCAGCCUACCAAGC
Molecule: ribosomal RNA, 399 nt
Filed under: uncultured bacterium
Lineage: Bacteria
Description: partial 16S ribosomal RNA
Rfam family: Bacterial small subunit ribosomal RNA
Source: RNAcentral